RNAcentral lists this ribosomal RNA (377 nucleotides) under uncultured bacterium. RNAcentral describes it as "bacterial SSU rRNA". It matches the Rfam family "Bacterial small subunit ribosomal RNA", at positions 523 to 898 of the family's 1533-position model. The record is from RNAcentral.
AUACGUAGGUGGCAAGCGUUAUCCGGAUUUAUUGGGCGUAAAGCGAGCGCAGGCGGUUUUUUAAGUCUGAUGUGAAAGCCUUCGGCUUAACCGAAGAAGUGCAUCGAAAACUGGGAAACUUGAGUGCAGAAGAGGACAGUGGAACUCCAUGUGUAGCGGUGAAAUGCGUAGAUAUAUGGAGGAACACCAGUGGCGAAGGCGGCUCUCUGGUCUGUAACUGACGCUGAGGCUCGAGAGCGUGGGGAGCGAACAGGAUUAGAUACCCUGGUAGUCCACGCCGUAAACGAUGAGUGCUAAGUGUUGGAGGGUUUCCGCCCUUCAGUGCUGCAGCUAACGCAUUAAGCACUCCGCCUGGGGAGUACGACCGCAAGGUUGAA